Molecule: long non-coding RNA, 1045 nt
Filed under: Equus asinus (donkey)
Lineage: Eukaryota; Metazoa; Chordata; Mammalia; Perissodactyla; Equidae
Description: lncRNA (ENSEASG00005036582.1)
Source: RNAcentral
CCUCCCUGCAGCCGAGCGGCCAGCUGAGCAUGGCUUUUGCCAAGCGGUACCACGUCCGCACCCAGGAUCCGAACCAGUGAACCCCAGGCCACGGAGAAGUGGAAUGUGCUAACUUAACCACUGCACCACCAGUGCCCCUGCUUUGCUGCCCUGCACCCUGAGCCUACGGGUCCUGUUGGCUACUCUGAGAAGCACACUGUGGACACCACUUUGGAAAAGAGAAUGUUCUUAACUUAAGCCUAUGGGCCACUCUAGGGCAAGGGUCGUUGUAUUUUAUAUGUUUUUGUCUUUCCUGGGACCCCACCGUGCCUGGGAGAUAAUAGGAAAUAACAAUCAAUGGUUGUUUUUUGGUCUUUACCUGAAAUGAAGCCCUGGCUGGCAGGUGGUCAGGACCCCUGGGAGACCAUCUCUACUUUGUCACAGCCUUGCUGGGUGCCUGAUGCCUACCAGCCUAUUUCUCUUUAUCUUUAGUUUUUCUCUUUGUAAGUCAGAACCUCCCCCCACCCGACAAGAAACCUGAUUUCAGUUCCAAGAAAGGAAAUCAAAACCCUAGAACUUUAGAGCUGGAAGGAACCAAAAUACUAAUAAUCUCUACCAUUGAUUGAAUCCUAGUUUUUUAAAUGAGUUUUAUUAAGAAUAGCCAAUUUUUAAAAUCUUUCAAAAAAAAAAAAAGAAUAGCCAUUUUGAACUUUGUCCAAUGUCUUCUUAGCAUCUAUUAAAUUGAUGGUGUGAUUUUUCUUGUUUAACAUAUUAAGAUGCUUUUUAUUAAUGAAUUGCAUCAUUAAAGACUCAUUCUAGCAUUUCACAAGUAAAUCAGAAAAAAACCCUCAAAGCUCAUCGAAGUCAGUGGUUCUCAAUUAGAUAUAGCCAAAUUCAUUUAUUUUCAGAUGAGGAAACCAAAGCACUAAGAGGUAAAUGCUUUCAAAUAUGGUCCCUAGUUUUUUUCAUGUAUCAUUUCCCCCUAAUCAGGCUGUUAAGAUCCCAAAGAGCAAGCACAGAGGGUCCUAUGUAUCAUUUUCUCUGUAUUAUUUCACCUAAGGGACCA